Molecule: ribosomal RNA, 319 nt
Filed under: Babesia vogeli
Lineage: Eukaryota; Apicomplexa; Aconoidasida; Piroplasmida; Babesiidae
Description: SSU rRNA
Rfam family: Eukaryotic small subunit ribosomal RNA
Source: RNAcentral
GUCUGGUGCCAGCAGCCGCGGUAAUUCCAGCUCCAAUAGCGUAUAUUAAACUUGUUGCAGUUAAAAAGCUCGUAGUUGAAUUUUAGCGUGUUCGAGUUUGCCAUUCGUUUGGCUUUUUCGAGUUCGCUUUUGGGUUUUCCCUUUUUACUUUGAGAAAAUUAGAGUGUUUCAAGCAGACUUUUGUCUUGAAUACUUCAGCAUGGAAUAAUAGAGUAGGACUUUGGUUCUAUUUUGUUGGUUAUUGAACCUUAGUAAUGGUUAAUAGGAACGGUUGGGGGCAUUCGUAUUUAACUGUCAGAGGUGAAAUUCUUAGAUUUGU